AUGGUGUUCAUACUAAGAAGUAAAAUUGUGGGAAUAUAAAAAAAAAAAAGGUAAGGAAUUAAUGAUAACCUACUCAUUUCUUGUAUCCCAACCAGAUAAAUUAGCAAUCUGCGUUAAAGCUUCUAUCCAUCUUCGAACUUCAUGUGGAAAUCUAACUUCAUGGGUCUCAAAAGUUGUAGCAAAUUUUCGUUUUGAUGUCGCACGUCAGAUGGAUCUAUGCCAUAAAAAACUGGAAAAAUUGUUUGACCGGAGUCCUUUUUGGAUUCUAGGAUCUUCUGCAAUUCAUCCAAACACCAAGAGGAAGAAGCAUAAUUCGCGGAGAGCACAACAAUCGCAAACAUAGAUUGCUCCAUAGCUUGGCCGAGUUCGUCCUUAAUAACGUGUCCUCUGUGAAGAUCUAAAUCAUCCUUGAUGCUCUAUUUGGUUGAAAAGAAAAUAUGGGAGGAACAAAAACAUGAAGAGAAAAUAGGAGAGAAAACAGAUUUUUCCUGGAUAGGGAAGAAAAAAUGAGAGGAAAGAAAAAGUGAAAAAAAAAAGGGUGAAAGUUUCAAUUCCUUGUCCACGCAAAGCAGCGUACAAGUGAUCGGUGAAGUUGGUGCGAGUGUCGGUGCCUCUGAAACUCAAGAAAACAUGAUACUUCGUCGGAGAAGAUGAAGCAGAGGAAGGACCUGGAGCAGCCAUUGAAGGAGCUUUUGGGCAAACUGAUAAAAGGGAAUGAAAUAUUCAGCGACGACUGAACGAACUGGGAAGAAGGAAGAUUGUGGGUGGAGCAAAUCAAGAACACCCAACCAGCUUGACUUGGGGUCAAUAGUCAUCAUCAACUUUUGUAAGGUCACUUGCAAAUUUCUACUUUCAAUUAAUGUUCCCCCUUUUUUUUUGGAUAAAAUUAAAGUCCCUUUAACCAGAUAUGUGAAGACCGAAAAAUAACUGUGGAACACCACGUAAAUAUUCUAAUUUUUUAAAGAUGCUCCUGAAGACAA
This is a long non-coding RNA of Prosopis cineraria, 980 nucleotides long. RefSeq lists it as uncharacterized. NCBI's taxonomy places the organism in Eukaryota, Viridiplantae, Streptophyta, Magnoliopsida, Fabales, Fabaceae. The transcript is spliced from 2 exons. The record is from RefSeq and is a predicted model, not a curated record.